GCGUCGAGCGGCGGACGGGUGAGUAAUGCCUAGGAAAUUGCCCUGAUGUGGGGGAUAACCAUUGGAAACGAUGGCUAAUACCGCAUGAUGCCUACGGGCCAAAGAGGGGGACCUUCGGGCCUCUCGCGUCAGGAUAUGCCUAGGUGGGAUUAGCUAGUUGGUGAGGUAAGGGCUCACCAAGGCGACGAUCCCUAGCUGGUCUGAGAGGAUGAUCAGCCACACUGGAACUGAGACACGGUCCAGACUCCUACGGGAGGCAGCAG
RNAcentral lists this ribosomal RNA (263 nucleotides) under Vibrio parahaemolyticus. RNAcentral's name for it is "partial 16S ribosomal RNA". It matches the Rfam family "Bacterial small subunit ribosomal RNA", at positions 88 to 354 of the family's 1533-position model. Lineage: Bacteria; Pseudomonadati; Pseudomonadota; Gammaproteobacteria; Vibrionales; Vibrionaceae. The record is from RNAcentral.